AACGCGUAUGCAAUCUGCCUUGUACUGAGGGAUAGCCCAGAGAAAUUUGGAUUAAUACCUCAUAGUGUUAUUGAGUGGCAUCAUUUAAUAACUAAAGUUCCAACGGUACAAGAUGAGCAUGCGUCCCAUUAGUUAGUUGGUAAGGUAACGGCUUACCAAGACAAUGAUGGGUAGGGGUCCUGAGAGGGAGAUCCCCCACACUGGUACUGAGACACGGACCAGACUCCUACGGGAGGCAGCAGUGAGGAAUAUUGGUCAAUGGGCGCAAGCCUGAACCAGCCAUGCCGCGUGCAGGAUGACGGUCCUAUGGAUUGUAAACUGCUUUUAUACGGGAAGAAACACUCCUACGUGUAGGAACUUGACGGUACCGUAAGAAUAAGGAUCGGCUAACUCCGUGCCAGCAGCCGCGGUAAUACGGAGGAUCCAAGCGUUAUCCGGAAUCAUUGGGUUUAAAGGGUCCGUAGGCGGUCUUAUAAGUCAGUGGUGAAAGCCCAUCGCUUAACGAUGGAACGGCCAUUGAUACUGUAGGACUUGAAUUACUUGGAAGUAACUAGAAUAUGUAGUGUAGCGGUGAAAUGCUUAGAUAUUACAUGG
This 594-nucleotide ribosomal RNA is filed under the name uncultured bacterium. Its description in RNAcentral is "bacterial SSU rRNA". It matches the Rfam family "Bacterial small subunit ribosomal RNA", at positions 112 to 704 of the family's 1533-position model. The record is from RNAcentral.